Molecule: ribosomal RNA, 253 nt
Filed under: uncultured bacterium
Lineage: Bacteria
Description: partial 16S ribosomal RNA
Rfam family: Bacterial small subunit ribosomal RNA
Source: RNAcentral
UACGAAGGGGGCGAGCGUUGUUCGGAUUUACUGGGCGUAAAGCGCACGUAGGCGGCCUAGCAAGUUGGAUGUGAAAUCCCUCGGCUCAACCGAGGACGUGCAUCCAAAACUGCUGGGCUUGAGUACUGAAGAGGAUCGCGGAAUUCCCGGUGUAGAGGUGAAAUUCGUAGAUAUCGGGAGGAACACCAGUGGCGAAGGCAGCCCCCUGGGUCAAGACUGACGCUCAUGCACGAAAGCGUGGGGAGCAAACAGG